RNAcentral lists this ribosomal RNA (458 nucleotides) under uncultured bacterium. Its description in RNAcentral is "partial 16S ribosomal RNA". It matches the Rfam family "Bacterial small subunit ribosomal RNA", at positions 338 to 795 of the family's 1533-position model. The record is from RNAcentral.
CCUACGGGGGGCAGCAGUGGGGAAUAUUGCACAAUGGGGGAAACCCUGAUGCAGCGACGCCGCGUGAGUGAAGAAGUAAUUCGUUACGUAAAGCUCUAUCAGCAGGGAAGAAACACUGACCUUACGGUCAGCAGACGGUACCUGAGUAAGAAGCCCCUGGUAACUACCUGCCAGCAGCCGCGGUAAUACGGAGGGGGCAAGCGUUUUCCGGAUUUACUGGGUGUAAAGGGAGGGUAGACGGUGCGCCAAGUCUGGAGUGAAAUGCCGCGGCUUAACUGCGGAACUGCUGUGGAAACUGGCGAACUAGAGUGCGGGAGGAGUAAGCGGAAUGCGUAGUGUAGCGGUGAAAUGCGUAGAUAUUAGGAGGAACACCGGUGGCGAAGGCGGCUUACUGGACCGUAACUGACGUUGAGGCUCGAAAGCGUGGGGAGCAAACAGGAUUAGAUACCCGGGUAGUC